Molecule: non-coding RNA, 37 nt
Filed under: Alexandrium minutum
Lineage: Eukaryota; Dinophyceae; Gonyaulacales; Pyrocystaceae
Source: RNAcentral
UUUUUUUUUUUUUUUUUUUUUUUUUUUUUUUUUCCGC